UUUCAAAGUAACGUCGGUUUACGAAGAGUAAUGAGAAAAUUUUUGAAUCUUUGUAGUUAUAUGGCGAAGUGAUGAUAGAACUACAAAACGAUAAAAAACAAUACUUUUGCAGCUUCAUCUUCUUGCAGUAAUAAAGAAUUUUGUGAACCUAUGAUUUUGUUUGACUGUCCAUAUAAACAAUUACGAUAAAGUACAUGAUGGCUAUCUUCCGAAGAAGAGGAUGCCUUUCUGGAGGACUUUUAAAGGAAAGUGACACGUAUUCUCAUUCUAAAAGCGAAAGAACUGAAAAGGACUAAAAGACACAGCGAGCACAUAACAUUUUCCUUAAAGAAGUAAUACUGCAAAAUUUUUCUGUGCAAUUUUUCAGGAAUAAAUUUAGUGAAUCAGAUCCUGCAUGGUUUAUUGGAAUAGAUUACUGAGGCUACGGAAAAAUACACGAGGGUGAUCUACCAACGGAAACGAAAGACUUGGGGAGGGCUUUCUGAGGGUUUAUUUGUUUGUUGAGAUUAUAGCAAAGCACACGGCAACUAUUCUCGUAGAGUAAAGGAUGCCUUCGUGGAGGACGUAUCGACGUUACCCGUGAGAAAAUUCUCAUGUAGCCAACCUUUAUUGAUAAAGACAAACUUAGAUUUAAAAUUUACACAGUUCCAUAUAUGUUUAUAAUUGCACAUUUUAACAUGUUAAACACUUCCUCAUCCAGUUAUCGCACAUCUCCCAUCGCCCAGGAUUAUUUUAUCUAACUAUGAAAGGAUCUGCAAACAAUUCUAGUAAUAAACGUAUUUUAUAGUGAUAACAUACAAAGCAGCAUAAAAAAUGUCCUAAUGAAUCUGCAGAAAACAGUUAAUUAAAGUCUUAGUCUCUUAUUUCAGAGUAAACAAAAGAUUAGUUCGUACGGAUGUUACCAUAUGUGCUUUAUGGUAUCAUAAUGCAUGCAUGUUGAGAACUGCAAAGCAUUAGUUACCAGAAUUAUAAUUAUAAAGCAUGAUUUCUGACUUCUUCUGAGGCCAAAACGCAGGGAUCGAUCACAUUCAGAUGUCCACUAGCAGCCGACCGGUAAAGUCACUGAACAUUGGUAGUUCCGAUCUGGGUUCGGUUCCAGGCGAACGGGUUAGCUGCACGGGUAUUUUCGUGGUUUUGUGUAUACAAGCCAGUUUCUUUUAGAAAUUCAUCCCUCGCCUUAGGCAGACAGCCCUAGUGUGAUUUAGUUACGGCUCUGGCUCGGCUCUAGUGUGCUAAGCUAGACAGCCCUAGUGUACAGCAAAGCCCUAGUGUGCUUUGCCGUAAUCUCAAUAAACCAAACCAAUGACAUUCAGAAUUUACCUAGGAAUAUCAUUCAAAUCUGAGUCGACUGUGCGCCGAGAUUAUCAAAACGUUAGAAAGACCUUAUCAUCAAAACUUAUGGUGUCUGAAGAGUAUAAAUUUGGCGAAAGCACAGAAAGCUCUCAAUCCGACCUGCUUAAGCAGAGAUGCUUGACUUAGUUGAUCGUAAAAAUUCACUCUGAAAGGAAAUCAAGUCUUCAGUUCCAACAGCGUUAGAAAGAAAAACGAAUCGUUGCUAAUGAUGCUAUAAACAUGAAUGCGACUACUAAAUAUACAGUGAAAGAUAUUACUGUUUAACUAAAAUUACAAAUACAGAGUGACCCAUUGGUUGCCAGGCUUUCGGCAAAUAUGCUUUAUUUUAUAUAAUAUAUGUAAAUUAAUGAUCAUAUUAUUACGCUCUUCAUAUAUUCCUGAGUAAUAAAAAUUCCGAAUUAAACCUG
This is a long non-coding RNA of Stegodyphus dumicola, 1760 nucleotides long. Lineage: Eukaryota; Metazoa; Arthropoda; Arachnida; Araneae; Eresidae. The record is from RefSeq and is a predicted model, not a curated record.